CCUACGGGUGGCAGCAGUGAGGAAUAUUGGUCAAUGGGCGCGAGCCUGAACCAGCCAAGUAGCGUGAAGGAUGACUGCCCUACGGUUUGUAAACUUCUUUUAUAAAGGAAUAAAGUGAGGCACGUGUGCCUUUUUGUAUGUACUUUAUGAAUAAGGAUCGGCUAACUCCGUGCCAGCAGCCGCGGUAAUACGGAGGAUCCGAGCGUUAUCCGGAUUUAUUGGGCUUAAAGGGAGCGUAGGUGGGGUGUUAAGUCAGAUGUGAAAGCUUGGGGCGCAACCGGUGAAUUGCAACUGAUACUGGCAGGCUUGAGUCUCGUAGAGGGAGGCAGAAUUCCAGGUGUAGCGGUGAAAUGCGUAGAGAUCUGGAGGAAUACCGGUUGCGAAGGCGGCUCACUAAACGAAGACUGACGCUCAUGUGCGAAAGCGUGGGUAGCAAACAGGAUUAGAUACCCUUGUAGUC
Molecule: ribosomal RNA, 460 nt
Filed under: uncultured bacterium
Lineage: Bacteria
Description: partial 16S ribosomal RNA
Rfam family: Bacterial small subunit ribosomal RNA
Source: RNAcentral